GGGUCAGUAGGUUGGUCGUGCCACCGGUACGUACUGGUCUCACUGAUUCCUCCUUCCUGAAGAACCGUAAUGCCAUUAAUUUGGUGUUGCGGGGAAACAGGACUGUUACUUUGAAAAAAUUAGAGUGUUUAAAGCAAGCUAACGCUUGAAUACAUUAGCAUGGAAUAAUGAAAUAGGACGAUCGAUCCUAUUUUGUUGGUUUGUAGGAUUGACGUA
Molecule: ribosomal RNA, 216 nt
Filed under: Glomeromycotina sp.
Lineage: Eukaryota; Fungi; Glomeromycota
Description: partial small subunit ribosomal RNA
Rfam family: Eukaryotic small subunit ribosomal RNA (bases 40-216)
Source: RNAcentral